GGAAGAAUACAGUGUGUAUGCAGAGUUCGGAAGCUGUUACCAUGACAUAGCACAGAGGGCAUCUUUUCUCAUCAGCUGAACCUAGAACUCCCUGAGCCCUUCCAUGCCUACUCUGCAGGCGUCCCUCAACUCAGGGGAGAGUUCCGAUAUGUAAUGACUGCCCUUCCUCCAUCUGUGAUUUUCCGCGCUCCUGUAACUUGUUACUCUCAGAUCAGAUCUCCUGGGCCCGACCCCCAAGCCUCCUGCAUUCCGUCGGCGUCUGCCUCUUUCCCGCUCUGCUGUGUCUGCCUAGCUGUUUCUCACCCUUUUCCUUCCUCGGGUCAGGGUCUGCAUCAAGAGUGAGUCUUCAAUCGUCUGCCGGAUGUUUUCAUGAUGUGGGCCAAUUUUGAAGCUCCUGGACUUCGUUCGCGCCCUGGAAUUGGGAUCCUCUCACGUGCCCUGUGGGUUUUGAUCUCAGGAUAGAGAAGACUCCAUCCGCCCACUCGCCUCCCUCUGGGAGGU
RNAcentral lists this long non-coding RNA (501 nucleotides) under Pan troglodytes (chimpanzee). RNAcentral describes it as "long non-coding RNA NONPTRT010981". Lineage: Eukaryota; Metazoa; Chordata; Mammalia; Primates; Hominidae. The record is from RNAcentral.